GACGAACGCUGGCGGCGUGCUUAACACAUGCAAGUCGAACGGUAAGGCCCUGUCGGGGGUGGAUGCUCGGCUAACGGAUGAGUGAGACGUGGGUGAUUUGCCCUGCACUGAGGUAUAAGUCCGGGCAAGUGAGUCGGAUUACGGCUGGGUAUACGCGACUCAUGCUGUGUGGUGGAUAGAUUUGUGGGUGUGUGAUGGGCGGGCGGGUGAUCUGCUUGUUGGUGGGGUGGUGGCUGACCAAGGAGGGGACGGGUAGCCGGCCUGAGAGGGUGGCCGGCCACAUGGGGACUGAGAUACGGCCCAGACUCCUACGGGAGGCAGCAGUGGGGAAUAUUGCACAAUGGGGGGAAGCCUGAUGCAGCAACGCCGGGUGGGGGAUGACGGCCUUCGGGUUGUAAACCCCUUUCGCCAGUGACGAAGCGUAAGUGACGGUAAGGGGAAAAGAAGCACCGGCUAACUACGUG
RNAcentral lists this ribosomal RNA (464 nucleotides) under uncultured bacterium. RNAcentral describes it as "partial 16S ribosomal RNA". It matches the Rfam family "Bacterial small subunit ribosomal RNA", at positions 28 to 507 of the family's 1533-position model. The record is from RNAcentral.